UACGGGGGGUGCGAGCGUUGUCCGGAAUCACUGGGCGUAAAGCGCGCGCAGGCGGUCUUCCAAGUCAGUGGUGAAAGCCCGGAGCUCAACUCCGGAACUGCCAUUGAAACUGUAAGACUUGAGGAUGAGAGAGGUGAGUGGAAUUCCCAGUGUAGAGGUGAAAUUCGUAGAUAUUGGGAAGAACACCGGUGGCGAAGGCGGCUCACUGGCUCAUAUCUGACGCUCAGGCGCGACAGCGUGGGGAUCAAACAGG
RNAcentral lists this ribosomal RNA (253 nucleotides) under uncultured bacterium. RNAcentral describes it as "partial 16S ribosomal RNA". It matches the Rfam family "Bacterial small subunit ribosomal RNA", at positions 524 to 776 of the family's 1533-position model. The record is from RNAcentral.